This 1029-nucleotide ribosomal RNA is filed under the name Triticum aestivum (bread wheat). RNAcentral's name for it is "partial small subunit ribosomal RNA". Lineage: Eukaryota; Viridiplantae; Streptophyta; Magnoliopsida; Poales; Poaceae. The record is from RNAcentral.
AUGAAGUCCUCCAGGGCAGCAGCGACCAUCGUCGUCCUAGCCUUGGCCUUCGCCGUCCAUUCCUCACCGGCCGCCGCCAAGGGUCUCUCGCCGGAUUUCUACGCAAUGUCGUGCCCACAACUGGGGCAGAUUGUGAGGUCCCACGUAGCCAAGGCCUUCCGCCGCGACCCCGGCGUCGCACCGGCCCUCGUCCGCAUCUUCUUCCACGACUGCUUCCCACAGGGCUGCGACGCGUCGGUACUCCUUACGGGGAACAACAGUGAGCAGGCGUUGGGGCCCAACCUGACGCUCCGGCCGAUGGCGCUCAAGCUCAUCGACGAUAUCCACGCCGGCGUCGAAGCCACCUGCCCCCGGACUGUCUCCUGUGCCGAUGUCACCGUCCUCGCCACCAGGGACGCCCUCCUGCAGGCUGGAGGGCCCUACAUCGACUUUCCCUUGGGCCGUCGCGACGGGCUUACCCCGGCGUCGGCGGACCUCGUCUUGGCUCUACCAGCGCCAUCCUUUGAUGUGCCCACCCUCAUCAGCUCCUUCGGCAACCGGAGCCUUGGUGUGGCCGACCUGGUGGCGCUCUCCGGCGCGCACACCUUUGGUGUCGCCCAUUGCCCCUCCUUCUCCGACCGCUUCAUGCCGAUCAUCGACGCCAACCCGGCCAUCGGCCCCAAGUUCGCCAAGAUGUUGCAGGCCAAGUGCGCCAAGGACAUCCCGGAGGGCACCGUAACCCAAGCACUCGAUGGGCUCACGCCAAAGGUGUUUGACAACUUGUACUACACGGACCUCAUCACCAGGCGUGGGCUGCUCAAGUCCGACCAGGGCCUCAUCGACCACCCAGACACGAAAGGCAUGGCCACACAGUUCGCACUCAACCAGCUCGUCUUCUUCAAUGAGUUUGCUCACUCCAUGGUGAAGAUGAGCUAUAUGGACGUGCUCACCGGCAGCCAGGGCGAGAUACGGCGGAACUGCGCCGUACCCAACACGCGUGCCGAGGGCAUCGAGACCGCUGGCGACGAGGGCCACGCUGCCAACAUGUAA